UGAGGAAUAUUGGUCAAUGGGCGAGAGCCUGAACCAGCCAAGUAGCGUGCAGGAUGACGGCCCUAUGGGUUGUAAACUGCUUUUAUAUGGGAAUAAAGUGAGGGACGUGUCCCUAUUUGCAUGUACCAUACGAAUAAGGACCGGCUAAUUCCGUGCCAGCAGCCGCGGUAAUACGGAAGGUCCAGGCGUUAUCCGGAUUUAUUGGGUUUAAAGGGAGCGUAGGCUGUUUGUUAAGCGUGUUGUGAAAUGUAAGAGCUCAACUUUUAGAUUGCAGCGCGAACUGGCAGACUUGAGUGCGCACAACGUAGGCGGAAUUCAUGGUGUAGCGGUGAAAUGCUUAGAUAUCAUGACGAACUCCGAUUGCGAAGGCAGCUUACGGGAGCGCAACUGACGCUAAAGCUCGAAGGUGCGGGUAUCGAACAGG
RNAcentral lists this ribosomal RNA (424 nucleotides) under Verrucomicrobiota bacterium. RNAcentral describes it as "Verrucomicrobia bacterium partial 16S ribosomal RNA". It matches the Rfam family "Bacterial small subunit ribosomal RNA", at positions 355 to 776 of the family's 1533-position model. Lineage: Bacteria; Pseudomonadati; Verrucomicrobiota. The record is from RNAcentral.